GGUUAAGCGACUAAGCGUACACGGUGGAUGCCCUGGCAGUCAGAGGCGAUGAAGGACGUGCUAAUCUGCGAUAAGCGUCGGUAAGGUGAUAUGAACCGUUAUAACCGGCGAUUUCCGAAUGGGGAAACCCAGUGUGAUUCGUCACACUAUCAUUAACUGAAUCCAUAGGUUAAUGAGGCGAACCGGGGGAACUGAAACAUCUAAGUACCCCGAGGAAAAGAAAUCAACCGAGAUUCCCCCAGUAGCGGCGAGCGAACGGGGAGGAGCCCAGAGCCUGAAUCAGUGUGUGUGUUAGUGGAAGCGUCUGGAAAGGCGCGCGAUACAGGGUGACAGCCCCGUACACAAAAAUGCACAUAUUGUGAGCUCGAUGAGUAGGGCGGGACACGUGGUAUCCUGUCUGAAUAUGGGGGGACCAUCCUCCAAGGCUAAAUACUCCUGACUGACCGAUAGUGAACCAGUACCGUGAGGGAAAGGCGAAAAGAACCCCGGCGAGGGGAGUGAAAAAGAACCUGAAACCGUGUACGUACAAGCAGUGGGAGCACGCUUCGGCGUGUGACUGCGUACCUUUUGUAUAAUGGGUCAGCGACUUAUAUUCUGUAGCAAGGUUAACCGAAUAGGGGAGCCGAAGGGAAACCGAGUCUUAACUGGGCGUUAAGUUGCAGGGUAUAGACCCGAAACCCGGUGAUCUAGCCAUGGGCAGGUUGAAGGUUGGGUAACACUAACUGGAGGACCGAACCGACUAAUGUUGAAAAAUUAGCGGAUGACUUGUGGCUGGGGGUGAAAGGCCAAUCAAACCGGGAGAUAGCUGGUUCUCCCCGAAAGCUAUUUAGGUAGCGCCUCGUGAAUUCAUCUCCGGGGGUAGAGCACUGUUUCGGCAAGGGGGUCAUCCCGACUUACCAACCCGAUGCAAACUGCGAAUACCGGAGAAUGUUAUCACGGGAGACACACGGCGGGUGCUAACGUCCGUCGUGAAGAGGGAAACAACCCAGACCGCCAGCUAAGGUCCCAAAGUCAUGGUUAAGUGGGAAACGAUGUGGGAAGGCCCAGACAGCCAGGAUGUUGGCUUAGAAGCAGCCAUCAUUUAAAGAAAGCGUAAUAGCUCACUGGUCGAGUCGGCCUGCGCGGAAGAUGUAACGGGGCUAAACCAUGCACCGAAGCUGCGGCAGCGACGCU
This 1173-nucleotide ribosomal RNA is filed under the name Escherichia coli. Its description in RNAcentral is "partial 23S ribosomal RNA". It matches the Rfam family "Bacterial large subunit ribosomal RNA", at positions 1 to 1215 of the family's 2925-position model. Lineage: Bacteria; Pseudomonadati; Pseudomonadota; Gammaproteobacteria; Enterobacterales; Enterobacteriaceae. The record is from RNAcentral.